UCCCAGAGAGAUGGUAUACGGAAGACCUACUUCUCCUUCGUUAAAAUUUUCUUAGUAGUAGCGCGGGAGUCCUAAAUCUGAGCCAUGCCCCAGUUUCGAUUCUUGUUCAAGUCCAAUCGCUUCCAUUCGCUCUCUAGUUCCUUCAAUUCGGCCACUUCCUCAGUCUUCCGUUCUCAGUUUGCUCCGUUUUCUUCUCCUUCCAACCUUCACGACCGCCCGGCUUCGAAUGUUUUUUCGUAUUUUCGCCGUCUACUUCAAUAUUCUAACGCCGCUGGUUCCGAUAAUGGUUUGUGUCUCUCAAUUCGGAAGAGUUUGAGCAAAAUGGGAACUGGAAAUUUCAGGAGUUUCAGUACCGAGCCUGACCGGGAGUCCAUAGAGUAUGAUGUCGUAAUCGUCGGAGCAGGACCUGCCGGGUUAUCUGCGGCGAUUCGGUUUAAGCAAAUGUGUCGUGAAAAUGAUGUCGAUUUGUCAGUAUGUGUCGUCGAGAAAGGUGCCGAAGUCGGUGCUCAUAUUAUUUCUGGAAACGUUUUUGAACCCCGAGCGCUGGAUGAACUUCUCCCGAGGUGGAAGCAAGAAGAGGCUCCAAUCAGUACCCCUGUUACUUCUGAUCAGUUUUGGUUCCUGACCAAGGACCGGGCAUUAUCACUUCCUUGUCCUUUCAACAAUGAGGGAAAUUAUGUAAUAAGUCUUAGUCAGUUAGUACGUUGGAUGGGAGUGAAAGCUGAAGAGUUGGGAGUAGAAAUAUAUCCAGGAUUUGCUGCUAGUGAGAUAUUAUUUGAUGCAAACAGCAAAGUUAUUGGCAUUAGGACUAAUGAUAUGGGAAUUUCAAAAGAUGGUUCAAAGAAGGAAAAUUUUCAACGUGGUGUUGAGAUCAAAGGUCGCACAACACUUCUGGCUGAGGGAUGCCGAGGAUCAUUAUCAGAGAAAAUCAUUAAGAAGUACAACCUGAGAGAGAAGGGUAGUGCACAACAUCAGACAUAUGCCUUGGGAAUUAAAGAGGUUUGGGAAAUUGAUGCUGAAAAGCACCAACCUGGGGCUGUACUUCACACACUGGGCUGGCCCUUGGAUCAUAAGACUUAUGGGGGAUCAUUUCUGUAUCACAUGAAUGAUAGACAAAUAUCUAUAGGCCUUGUGGUUGCUUUGAACUAUCAGAACCCUUUUAUGAAUCCUUAUGAGGAAUUUCAGAAACUUAAGCAUCACCCUGCAAUCAAAACAUUUCUGGAAGGUGGAACAGUUCUCCAAUAUGGAGCUAGAACUUUAAAUGAAGGAGGUUUGCAGUCUAUCCCAUAUCCAGUUUUCCCUGGAGGAGCAAUUAUUGGAUGUUCUUCUGGCUUCUUAAAUGUGCCCAAGAUAAAAGGAACUCACACAGCUAUGAAAUCAGGGAUGCUUGCAGCUGAAGCUACAUUCAGUAUGCUUAAUGAAGGUCUGGAAAUGGAUAGAUACUGGGAUGCUUUGAGGAAUUCAUGGAUUUGGGAAGAACUAUUCAGAGCUAGGAACUAUCGACCAGCCUUUGAUUAUGGACUUAUUCCAGGGCUUGCCAUAAGUGCUUUGGAACAUUACUUGCUCAAGGGAAGGCACCCAAUUACCUUGAAGCAUGGUAAACCUGAUCAUGAAGCUACACAUGCUGCAAAGUUAUAUUCUCCUAUGCCCUACCCAAAGCCGGAUGGUGUUUUCUCAUUUGAUGUACCUACCUCAUUGCACAGGUUUGAGAUAAUGAAUUCUUCUUUAUUGCUUAGUGCCGAACCAAUUGAUAACCGGUAACAGGAAGAAAACCAGGUAACGGUAAUGAGAAGGAAGUUGUGCCCAUAAGUAUGUAAAGGGCUGGAGGUCACCAAACUCGUACAUAACUAGCAGAAUGUGUAAACAGAAACUGGAGAGGGAAGAGCAGGUUAAGAGUUGAGAAAAGACAAAAGUCGAAGGGCCAAUGUGUAAAAGCCAAUCAUAUUUCUUCACCAUCACUUGCUCGUAACUUCUUCACCCUUUUGCCAUUUAGUGUAAAAUAAUGUGAUGUAACUUAACACUUGCUAGUAGAAUAAUGCAUGUCAUUGGCGUAAAAGUAAUUUGCAUGUGGUGAUGGGAAAAUGGCAAAGGUCCUACACAAGUUCUUUAAUAGCUAAUUAAAAUUCUAGUAAUCUCCUUUAAUUACUUGAUCAAAGACAAUGCUCCUGCUUUUGGGGGAAAAUACAUUGGCUUUUCCUAAAUCUCUGGAUAUUUUAGGGCUGUAGGCAAAGUCUGAAGACCAAAUCAUUGCCUUUUCCCAUAUACUCCUAUAUGAGGGUGUCUUUUUCUUCUUCCAAACCAAUUUGUAAAAGGACAAGAGAGUGACAGUUUGUAGAGCAUGCGGCAGUGUCAUGUCAACCUCCGACCUGAGAUUAAGGCUGAGAAAAGUCUCUCCUGAGGAGAUGCAGGACAACUUAAAGGAAUUUCCUGCAUGUAGCCAUAACUUCACUUUAUUGUGAAUGAGAAGGGUGGAAAGUUUUACCGCUGAUACCGCGCGCCUCCUUUGAUGAUAAUAUUUUUGUGGCUUACAAAAGAGCAACACAAAUCAUGAACACGAUCAACCUCCUCACCUUCGGUUGAGAGAUCCAAAGAUUCCAGAACUUGUAAAUUUACCUGUGUAUGCUGGUCCUGAGUCGCGAUAUUGUCCUGCACGAGUAUAUGA
Molecule: RNA transcript, 2662 nt
Organism: Prosopis cineraria
Lineage: Eukaryota; Viridiplantae; Streptophyta; Magnoliopsida; Fabales; Fabaceae
Gene name: electron transfer flavoprotein-ubiquinone oxidoreductase, mitochondrial
Exons: 16
Source: RefSeq, a predicted model, not a curated record